ACCCCAUGCCGAACUCAGAAGUGAAACGCCGUAGCGCCGAUGGUAGUGUGGGGUCUCCCCAUGCGAGAGUAGGACACUGCCAGGC
RNAcentral lists this ribosomal RNA (85 nucleotides) under Serratia liquefaciens. The record is from RNAcentral. Lineage: Bacteria; Pseudomonadati; Pseudomonadota; Gammaproteobacteria; Enterobacterales; Yersiniaceae. RNAcentral also lists the same sequence under 8 other names.